AUCACUUGGACUAGUCAGAGCUGC
RNAcentral lists this non-coding RNA (24 nucleotides) under Arabidopsis thaliana (thale cress). The record is from RNAcentral. Lineage: Eukaryota; Viridiplantae; Streptophyta; Magnoliopsida; Brassicales; Brassicaceae.